RNAcentral lists this ribosomal RNA (254 nucleotides) under uncultured bacterium. RNAcentral's name for it is "partial 16S ribosomal RNA". It matches the Rfam family "Bacterial small subunit ribosomal RNA", at positions 524 to 776 of the family's 1533-position model. The record is from RNAcentral.
UACGGGGGGAGCAAGCGUUGUUCGGAUUUACUGGGCGUAAAGGGCGCGUAGGCGGCGUGGUAAGUCACUUGUGAAAUCUCCGGGCUUAACUCGGAACGGCCAAGUGAUACUGCAGUGCUAGAGUGCAGAAAGGGCAAUCGGAAUUCUUGGUGUAGCGGUGAAAUGCGUAGAUAUCAAGAGGAACACCUGAGGCGAAGGCGGGUUGCUAGGCUGACACUGACGCUGAGUGCGCGAAAGCCAGGGGAGCAAACGGG